CUAAAUUCUGUGAAUAGGAUGAGUAGUUAGAGUCUUAAAGGUUUAGCGAGUCGGAGUAGGUGGGAGUCCGAUACUUUAUCUCUAGUGAAUGGACCUAGGAGAAACAAAGAGAACUCACCAAUUGGUGAAAGUAUCUGAUGUCGGGGGGCUUCCCGUUAUAGAGGCAGGAUAUCGAGUUAGUUUGACUCCGUAUCUCAUGAGAGAGAUCCUUUGGGAUCUAAUAAAGGUGGUACCGCGAAACUUAGUCUUUCGUCCUUUGA
Molecule: non-coding RNA, 260 nt
Filed under: Alkaliphilus metalliredigens
Lineage: Bacteria; Bacillati; Bacillota; Clostridia; Peptostreptococcales; Natronincolaceae
Description: T-box sequence
Rfam family: T-box leader
About the family: Uncharged tRNA acts as the effector for transcription antitermination of genes in the T-box leader family.
Source: RNAcentral